CAAAUACCUGCAGGGGCAUGUUCUUAAUUUUCAGUAUGUACUUAUCAUCUCAUCCAGGUUCUGCACUCGUGGUUAUAAAGCACAGUAUCUCCAGCUGUAAGAAAUCAUUUGAAAUUGUGGAAAAUUCGACCUGCGUGUAGUUUUCCUUUCAAACUUUCCUUAAUUUUAAAAAGGUCAGACUAGUUGGAACAAUAAUUAGCAGAACAAACACUACUGUCCUCAGAGGAGACCUUGUCUGCCAAGCUACUGACUCAAGAACGGUUACAGCUGAGUUACAGCCCAGCCCUCCUUCCUGCCCUGGGAAGCAGACCUGAGGUAGGCUGGAAAUUGCUGACAGACCCUGAACUUCAGCUGUGCAGUGGGUUCCCUUCCAGCUGAAUUCAAUGGGCAAACCAAGGGCUCUCCCUGUCUUUGGGGGUUCCUGUGCUUCACCUGAUGCUAAAUCAUAAGGUUGGUUUUUAGACUGAAACGCUGCAGCCUUCAGAAGUGCUCUCUGAUGGCUGCUGGGGGAGGCAGAGCACCCAGCUGGAGGGACCCGUGGUGCAGCGCAGGUCAUUUCUUCAGCAGUGCCUGCUCUGUUAAAUGUAGCUGGAGCGCUCCCGUUUGAGACCACAGCUUGAGCAGAAAUCCCAUUUGUGCACUGCAGGACCGUGCAAUGGCACUAACGGAAAUAUGAGUAAGGAAGCAAAAGAGAAGCUGAAUGUUCACAAAAUUGAACACGGAUUCAGAUGAGACUAGCAAACCUGGUUUUUUCUUGCAAAGAUGUCCCUUAUCACUCUUUUACUCACCAAGGUAGGUCAAAACAUUUCAAACUGGGAAAAAUUUUGUAUUGUCUGUUGAACCCAAUCAAGCCACGAUUUAAUUAACUGGAUUGAGAGAGAGAGAUGCCAGUGAGUUAUCUGUGCACCUGGCAGUGUGUGCAGAAUACUAAUAGCCUGGGUAAUGUUCUCCAAAUUCUUGAUCGGCAGCAGCUGGAGCAAAUUUUUGACUUUGAUGAGUAGGGAAAAAGAAGAAAUCUAUUUCAGCGCAGUGACAGUAGUAUAUUUACAUUACAAACACGGCAAUUGCUAAGCAUUACUGGAAUUCUGCUGCCACAAUAAAGGCAGUGGCAUUCAUUUAGUUUCAUUUCCAAUUAUAAGAGAUCCUGCUGGUUUUUCUCCAUAAUAAAAACUUUGCAAACCGAGCUUCAUUACACAACUACAUGGGCUGCUACCCAUCUUGUCUGACUACGGAUGUCAUCGUCUGUCAUCCCAAGCAUUUUGAACUCGUUCAGGUUUGGAGAGAGGAAAAGCAGUCUUUGGUCCUGUGAUUACUGUGAAACGUCUUUUAUUUCAUAGCUGAGCAUGGAAACGGGCAGCCUGGUGCUGGGAAGGGUGUCUGUCCCUGGUAAAUGGAGGACAUCCCUCAUCCCUUUGUUCACCAUGGGAGCUGAAUCUUUGGCAAGCAGCUCCUCUUACUAGAGUAAACGGUGACAUUUGUUAAGUGCUUCCAAACUGGCGCUUUGUGAAUUUUCAAUACACCUAUCUGGCAUCUGAUCCAAUUGUCACUGCAGCAAAGUCAGUGGGAGUCUUUCCACUAACUUCAGAGCCACAAAGAAAGUCUCCUGCUGUAUGGUUUGUACAAGCAGGAGGCAGGGGAGGGAGGGAGGGAGGAUAAUUUACUGGUAGUUGGGGAAUUUCUUACAGCGACAGCAUUGCAGGGAAGGCGAGUGAGGUCAGAGGUUGUAGGACAUUAGUGGCCUAGGACAGCAAUUCGGUCUGGUCGGUACAUCGCCUGCAGCUCCCAUUUCAAGGCAGGUGACCCGGUAAUAAACAUUAUUCAAGGAAAUUUGAUGGGAACAGAUAGUUAAAAAAAUGAGGCAUGUUGGAACAAAUCCUGCUGCCAGCCCAAAAGUGAUGUUACUGAAAGAACAGGGUGGAGUGAAUAUUUCUUUUAAAGUUCUGCCUCAGAAAGGUUACUGAGGCUUUCCCUUUCCUUCCACACACAAGGAGCAGUCCCCCCAAACCCUGCCUGAGACCCCAGCCCUUUGACUUGCCUGUAGAGGCUUUGGGAAGCAAGGGAAACUGAGGCAGUGCAGUAGGCACAGUGCCUAAAGUCUCCUGUAUGGGGCCUGUCUAGUGGCUCCUCAGCUCCCAGCAGGAGCAAAACAUGUCAGCUGUGACACGGAGCUUCUCAUGGCUGUGAGCGGAGCAAUGCAUGGGUUGGAUCCGAUUCAUUAAUGAACUUGUGUAUGUGGUAGCUCUACUGCUUCUUCAGGCUUUUGCUACUAUACAAUGAAGUACAUGAUUAAAACCAGCAGAAGUCAGCUCAGGAUCAAUCUGGUGUGAGUAGGUCCUUUUAAAUACAAGGUACUUUAGUGGCAUUUUCAGUUGGAGUUGCCACUUGCUGAACAUUUGGAGGGUAUUGGUUAGGUUACAAUUCUCAGGAAACAUUAAUUCUCUUCAGACCUAGUGCAAGAAAAUUUUAUUGUGCAUGCAGCUGUUCAAGAUUAAGUAAUUAUGUGAUGAACCUUUGGAGGUGAUGAAUUUUAGAUGAAGCAUGUACACAUUUUUAUUAUGCGUACUUUUUUCUUCAUCUAUUUUCUCUUCAUUUGGUCACUCGUUUAUGUGGAAGCAAUGAGCAAAAUCAGCAUAUUUCACUCUUUAGAAAGAAAAUUUCCAUUUACAUAGCCUUAAUGCCUUCAGCCCACACAUCCUUCAGUGAAUUUUCAAAAACCCACUGAUGUAUUACACUCCACAUAGCAACUUCAAUAAACAGGUCAUCUGAAAAAGACCAAGGUUAGACCCUCAGCUGGGCUCAGCAGUCUUUUCUCUCUUGGGCUCUUUUUGAGCUCACCUAGAACCGUUUCACCUUGGGCUGAGCAGGGGUGGCUUGUAGGGGAUCAAGACCCAGGUCUCAUCAGGAGAUGUUUUACAUGCUGCUUUGUUGUUUGGAAAAGGUUACAAAUCAUAAGUUUCUUCUCUUUACUUUGUUCUUUGCAGGCAGCUAAAAGAUCACUCUGCUAAAACGGGUUUCUGAAAAGCACCAAAAAAAGAUGAAAGAGAGAAAAGCAAUUCUGAAACAAUGAGUAAAAGGGUAUUUUCAAGAAAGGCAAGAUGAUCAGUUUUUAAGCCUUUUAAAUACUUUGAGUCCCUAUUACCUAAAGUGUAUGUAUGUAACGGUCCAACCUUAGCAAAGCCAGCAGCAGCUUUGGGUUUCAGGCCAGAUCCAUUCUCAAAGCAGAACACCAUGAUUUUGGCUCCAGAUCACAAUAACUUUUCCUGCCACCUUGACACUCUCCUGCCCCGCUGCUUAGACCAGAGACUUUGCCCUGGGGCAAUACGUUCUGGAACUGUUCCAGCAAAGGCUGAAGAUGUUAUUCUCUGGCCAUUAUACCAGAUCCAUGCAUUUACAGGACCACCUAGCAACACAGAUUGGAACCAAAUCAGGCAUGGAUAUGCAAUUGCAUUAACCAAAAUAUAUGAGGAGCAUAUGUUUAUUUUCUGGUAGCUGAAGAUGGUAUGGGAUCUCGGAAAAUGUUCAAGUGCUUCAGACAGAUGGUACGUGAUCCAGCAUAAAGCCUGCCAGUGAAAAGUUAACCUGUCAACGUUUUCUUUUUUUUUUUAACAAAUCUGAAUCAGCAGAGCAAAUUUAUACUGGAUCGGUGCUUUGUGUCUCACAGCUGCAGCAGAUUUAUCUAAGAUGGUUUUAUUAUAUUAUUGGACCAUGAUGAAAGUGUGCAGAAGAUGUGAAUACAGCUGAAGGAACUGUAUUUCUGUCAGGAAAACAGACCCCGUAAGAUACCUCACCCUGAAGCUGUUUGUCUCUGGCUACAUUGCUUUUAAGCCUACGCCUGAGAGCCUUUUUCCUUGAUUGCCUUUCCUUCAGGCUGAGCUUCCACAGCACAGUGCCGUGGUGCAGUACACAGAAAUAUUAGCACUCUCAAAGAGGUUAUACAGCAAGAAAGAACAGUAUAUUGAUGUAGAUAGAGGUAUUUAUAAACAAACACAGGUACAAAGCUGUAUGAAAGAUCUCUGCUGCUUCCUUUCACAAUAGCCCACGUGAUGCCAGCACACCCAGCUGUUCCUGGCUGUCCUUCAAGGGGAUAUUCUCUUUCCUGCUGUCCCUUGAAGGUACAAGAAUGGGCUGAGGUAUUCAGUUGUGCUCGUAAAACCCUUCUCAUCCUCCCAGUGCCCUGUCCGAGCCUGCACAUGCUGCAACACCCCAGAGGUGCUACCAGGAGGAAAGCAGCUCAGUAAUUUGCUGUUUUGCACAGGCAUGUUGGAGAAGCUGGGGUACAGAAAGGCGUUUGUUGGGCUGCUCUGGAUCAGGGUGGGUGCUGCUGCGUGGGGGGCUGCCUCCUGCUGCGGGCGCCUUGGGGCAGAGCCCUGCACCCUCACGGGCCAUGACCUCUUUGAAGUUCAUUUGAUCAGGUCUGGUUUGUUUGUCUACAUUUAUUUAAGAGGAGAGGACUACUGAGUUUGCUACUUGUCCGAUUUGUUUUCUGUGUGUAUACAAAAGCCCCAGAUCUUGAUUAUAGGUGGAAUCUUCCCACAAGUUUCUGUUUGGUGAGUAGCACUUUGACCAAUAAGCAAAGUCUCCAUUGUCUUUACUUUCUCUCUCAAACAACUAAAGCAAGUUUCAUAAGCCUAAAUCAGGUAUAUAUUGAGGAAGAGCCUGUAUUUUAGUGAGACCUCUCCAAGCCUACUAGGAUCUGCGUGAUCGAUCAGUGUUAAGACCUCAGCUGACUUUCUAUCAAACUCAGUCUGGAGUAGGAGCACAGUUACAUUCAUUCAAGACUCCUACUGUAUCUCUUUGAUUUAAUACAGCAGUAGGUAUGAUCGACCAGUAUCAUGGAGCACUUUUUUGGAUGCAGUUAAUGUUGUUCUGUAGACAACAAGACAAAUGGGAUGAAGCUCCAUAUAUAGGUUUGUUUUCCCCU
Molecule: long non-coding RNA, 4921 nt
Organism: Falco peregrinus (peregrine falcon)
Lineage: Eukaryota; Metazoa; Chordata; Aves; Falconiformes; Falconidae
Exons: 3
Source: RefSeq, a predicted model, not a curated record